Molecule: long non-coding RNA, 766 nt
Organism: Eriocheir sinensis (Chinese mitten crab)
Lineage: Eukaryota; Metazoa; Arthropoda; Malacostraca; Decapoda; Varunidae
Exons: 3
Source: RefSeq, a predicted model, not a curated record
GUUAAGGGACAGAGUGGGAAAACCACACUGCAAGCCUUACCUAGACACCAUCGUGUAUAAAUGGCUGCUGGAAGGCUCGUGACAGCACACUGACACUGAACGUCUCCCCUGAAGGUUGUCUCAGUCACCGUGGCACAAUGAGAAGCACACUGAUCGCCCUCGUCCUCCUGGGUCUGGUGGGGACUAUUCUUGCCCAAAAGGUGGUGCCCCUCCAUAACCCUGCUCGUGAUAAUAAGUUGGACCCUGUCACUGAUAACAACUUGGACCAUGCGAAUGAAAACUUGGACCUUGGAACGGAUGACGCUGCCCAGGAUGACGGCAUGGAGAGGGAAGAUUUCCUGGGCGAAAACGCAAACUUUACACGGAUUGGCGGCCUUCCUACCUAUUGAUUCAACUGAAAAUGUUGCCGUUCACAUCGGGCGCGACGAAAAACCUGCAUCGACUGACCUCCAUUAAUGGAUUAUGGAAAGAGGAACAUUGAAAGAGGACAUGGCAAAACUAACCUGAUGCAAAUGAAAAUAAUAUAUCGCUAACCGAAAAUUACCGUGCAUUUGAAAAAUUCAGAAUUAACAAACAAAGGUAUUAAUAGAUACAGUUAAGAACAUUGAGUAUGUUAUGUGAUAUUUAUAGUACACAUUUUUCACCUCUGCUCACAUCCACAAUUGUUCCCUGACUUAGUUGAUUGGAAAGGUCAGGUGUUUGUUGUUUAUAUCAGCAGUGGUUCCACAUAUUACACGUGUUUAUUAUAAUAAAAUUACGCAUCCUA